This 416-nucleotide long non-coding RNA is filed under the name Mytilus galloprovincialis (Mediterranean mussel). The record is from RNAcentral. Lineage: Eukaryota; Metazoa; Mollusca; Bivalvia; Mytilida; Mytilidae.
CUCAUAUCUCUCACUUGAUGUUUUUACAUUGAAUUGGUAAAAGAAGAUUUUUAUUGGGUAGAGGAAUUAUAAAAUGAGUGCUGAAUAAAAUCAGAAUUAAUAUGUUUGUACAGAAUAAAGAGAUUGUCUUUGUCAGCUGUUUAUGCCUUGCAAUAUUUUUUAUUGGAUUAAGAUUAUAGGAGAAGCAACACAAAGGGCCAGAAAAUUUGUUCAUAUCAAGAAUUAAUGCCAUCAUUUGCAAAAGACAGAUCAUAAAUAUUUUUAUAUGAAAUGAAUUGAAUUGAAACAGAAAAGAAGUCUUAUAGAUGUAUAGUUUCAAGAAAUGGUUGUGAAUUUUUCUAUUCCGAAUCCUAUUUUUAUAUAUAAGAUAAUAUAUUUUACUACAAUUUGUAAAUUAUUUAUUUUAUAAAGAAAGC